GAUGAACGCUGGCGGCGUGGCUAAUACAUGCAAGUCGAGCGAACGGACGAGAAGCUUGCUUUUCUGAUGUUAGCGGCGGACGGGUGAGUAACACGUGGAUAACCUACCUAUAAGACUGGGAUAACUUCGGGAAACCGGAGCUAAUACCGGAUAAUAUUUUGAACCGCAUGGUUCAAAAGUGAAAGACGGUCUUGCUGUCACUUAUAGAUGGAUCCGCGCUGCAUUAGCUAGUUGGUAAGGUAACGGCUUACCAAGGCAACGAUGCAUAGCCGACCUGAGAGGGUGAUCGGCCACACUGGAACUGAGACACGGUCCAGGCUCCUACGGGAGGCAGCAGUAGGGAAUCUUCCGCAAUGGGCGAAAGCCUGACGGAGCAACGCCGCGUGAGUGAUGAAGGUCUUCGGAUCGUAAAACUCUGUUAUUAGGGAAGAACAUAUGUGUAAGUAACUGUGCACAUCUUGACGGUACCUAAUCAGAAAGCCACGGCUAACUACGUG
This 497-nucleotide ribosomal RNA is filed under the name uncultured bacterium. RNAcentral describes it as "partial 16S ribosomal RNA". It matches the Rfam family "Bacterial small subunit ribosomal RNA", at positions 28 to 507 of the family's 1533-position model. The record is from RNAcentral.